GAAGGAUCAUUACCGAGUGCGGGUCCUUUGGGCCCAACCUCCCAUCCGUGUCUAUUAUACCCUGUUGCUUCGGCGGGCCCGCCGCUUGUCGGCCGCCGGGGGGGCGCCUUUGCCCCCCGGGCCCGUGCCCGCCGGAGACCCCAACACGAACACUGUCUGAAAGCGUGCAGUCUGAGUUGAUUGAAUGCAAUCAGUUAAAACUUUCAACAAUGGAUCUCUUGGUUCCGGCAUCGAUGAAGAACGCAGCGAAAUGCGAUAACUAAUGUGAAUUGCAGAAUUCAGUGAAUCAUCGAGUCUUUGAACGCACAUUGCGCCCCCUGGUAUUCCGGGGGCAUGCCUGUCCGAGCGUCAUUGCUGCCCUCAAGCCCGGCUUGUGUGUUGGGUCGCCGUCCCCCUCUCCGGGGGGACGGGCCCGAAAGGCAGCGGCGGCACCGCGUCCGAUCCUCGAGCGUAUGGGGCUUUGUCACAUGCUCUGUAGGAUUGGCCGGCGCCUGCCGACGUUUUCCAACCAUUU
RNAcentral lists this ribosomal RNA (514 nucleotides) under Aspergillus sp. S-2. RNAcentral's name for it is "eukaryotic LSU rRNA". The stretch from base 199 to 351 matches the Rfam family "5.8S ribosomal RNA". Lineage: Eukaryota; Fungi; Ascomycota; Eurotiomycetes; Eurotiales; Aspergillaceae. The record is from RNAcentral.